UAAAGAAGGCGGAGUUAGUUUUCAUGCAAACGCAAAUAAAUAUAAGCAGACGAAGUGCUAUUUUUGUGUUGAUGUUGAGCGUCAUCAAAAUGGAUAACUACGAUUUUUACGUGUACCAGUGGAAACGAAAUGUGUUGUUGGAUUCACAGCUCUUUUAUUUGCGUGUCAACCAAAGAGAAUCCAGUGAAAAAGAGAAAACCACCUCUCGCAAGAAAACCACUUGGUAACAUAAGGAAUUAUGUGGACAUUUCCCUUCUCAAAUUACACGUGCUGUUACAAAAGUAAAAGCUAAUGCUAUUACUAAGACUACAGUUUGCACAACACAAGCACAAGAUACUCCUACAGAAGGUCCUGUUACAGUUUAUGAAGACAUAAAUAAUGAAGUCAUUGAGGUUGCAGCUGUGUGUAAUGUCACAGGUAAUAUGUCAGUUCUAGAGGCUGUCAAGGAAAAUGAAAACUCAACAUUUUCACCUGAUGACAUUCGAAAUAUCAAGCUACCCUCAACAACUUGGAGAAUUGGAUCCCUAGAAGACGGAUUGCUUAAUUUCUUUAACAUUGAAGAAAAAAAACAAAGUGUUGCCAUUCAAAAAUUGCUUUCAGUUGAUUUCAAUAGACGCAGUUACACCAAAACAAUCAUAAAUCGAGAGCUUACAGAUAUUGAAGAGCACCAACACGAGACCAACACUUUUACAUCACUAGCACAAAUUGAAGAAGUUUUGUUAAAUCUUCACAAUGCAAGAAUAUGUCCUGGCAUCGUCCACGAUCCUUUAAAAUACCCAACUACAGAAAACUUGGUUCGAAAUGGUCAGCUGCUGCAUGGAAUUUGGAGAUCGAAUAAAUGCAGCCUCCUAAUUUCUGAAUGUGGCAAGAUGACGCACUGCAAAUUCUGCAAGAUGUUGAAGAAAGCUUUACAAAUGCAGUUUAACAGACACAAGAAAAUUAAACUGCACACCAAAAUCAACCACACAUUUUUGAGCAUGAAACAACUAUCCCGAAAAAUCGUUGCAAAGGCCAAACGUGAAGCCCAACUUAAGUUUCAAUUAAAGAAGAAAAAAGAAGAAAAUAUGGUCGUCGUUGAGGGUUUGUAUACAGCAAGCCGAGGCUGUAUAUACUGAGGCAAACAACAUAAAACCUAAAUGAUUACUAGCCUACCAUUUUACGUAAUUUUAUGUGCCACUGCUCAUUUCCCUAUAUGAAGAUGAUAAUUUUUUACUGAAAGUUACAACAAUUAAACGCAGAAAAUACAACAAAGCAUCGGGCCGUAUUUUUACUGUAGUCCCUAAUUGUAUUUCUCCGUUUAGGUUUUAUCAGCUAUACAUUCAGCCAUUGAAUUUUGAAACUGAAAGCCGGUCGGAAAAAUCCAUUGCGAAGGUUGUUUAUAUUAACUAAGCCUGAUGUGUUAUCAACGUCAUCUUGCGUCAAAACGGGGAAAAAAAUAAACAAACGAA
RNAcentral lists this unclassified non-coding RNA (1448 nucleotides) under Daphnia magna. Its description in RNAcentral is "uncharacterized LOC123475498, transcript variant X3". Lineage: Eukaryota; Metazoa; Arthropoda; Branchiopoda; Diplostraca; Daphniidae. The record is from RNAcentral.